Pelobates cultripes (western spadefoot toad) is the source of this 290-nucleotide non-coding RNA. The record is from the annotation of a GenBank genome assembly. Lineage: Eukaryota; Metazoa; Chordata; Amphibia; Anura; Pelobatidae.
CAAAUCUCAGACCUGGAAGCGGUGCACAAACUGGACCAACAAGCACAGACCUACAGGACCCUGAUAGCGACUAGAAAACAGUUGGCAGAGAUCUUAGAACGCAGACAUGCAAGAACAAUACAGCGUUCGCGCGCCUUCUUUUACACACACGCCAACAAAGGAGGCAAACUCCUAGCACAGAUGCUGAGAGGCACACAGGGCAGGGCACAGGUACAAGCUAUACGCACCACACACAACCGUACCACACAAUUUCCGGAAGAAAUUGCGAAUGAAUUUAAAAAGUUCUAUAC